This 1947-nucleotide ribosomal RNA is filed under the name human gut metagenome. RNAcentral's name for it is "bacterial LSU rRNA". It matches the Rfam family "Bacterial large subunit ribosomal RNA", at positions 1 to 1977 of the family's 2925-position model. The record is from RNAcentral.
UUAAGCGACUAAGCGUACACGGUGGAUGCCCUGGCAGUCAGAGGCGAUGAAGGACGUGCUAAUCUGCGAAAAGCGUCGGUAAGGUGAUAUGAACCGUUAUAACCGGCGAUGUCCGAAUGGGGAAACCCAGUGCAAUUCGUUGCACUAUCGUUAACUGAAUACAUAGGUUAACGAGGCGAACCGGGGGAACUGAAACAUCUAAGUACCCCGAGGAAAAGAAAUCAACCGAGAUUCCCCCAGUAGCGGCGAGCGAACGGGGAGCAGCCCAGAGUCUGAAUCAGCUUGUGUGUUAGUGGAACGGUCUGGAAAGUCCGACGGUACAGGGUGAUAGUCCCGUACACCAAAAUGCACAGGUUGUGAACUCGAAGAGUAGGGCGGGACACGUGGUAUCCUGUCUGAAUAUGGGGGGACCAUCCUCCAAGGCUAAAUACUCCUGACUGACCGAUAGUGAACCAGUACCGUGAGGGAAAGGCGAAAAGAACCCCGGCGAGGGGAGUGAAAAAGAACCUGAAACCGUGUACGUACAAGCAGUGGGAGCACCUUCGGGUGUGACUGCGUACCUUUUGUAUAAUGGGUCAGCGACUUAUAUUCUGUAGCAAGGUUAACCGUAUAGGGGAGCCGCAGGGAAACCGAGUCUUAACUGGGCGUUAAGUUGCAGGGUAUAGACCCGAAACCCGGUGAUCUAGCCAUGGGCAGGUUGAAGGUUGGGUAACACUAACUGGAGGACCGAACCGACUAAUGUUGAAAAAUUAGCGGAUGACUUGUGGCUGGGGGUGAAAGGCCAAUCAAACCGGGAGAUAGCUGGUUCUCCCCGAAAGCUAUUUAGGUAGCGCCUCGUGAAUUCAUCUUCGGGGGUAGAGCACUGUUUCGGCUAGGGGGUCAUCCCGACUUACCAACCCGAUGCAAACUACGAAUACCGAAGAAUGUUAUCACGGGAGACACACGGCGGGUGCUAACGUCCGUCGUGAAGAGGGAAACAACCCAGACCGCCAGCUAAGGUCCCAAAGUCAUGGUUAAGUGGGAAACGAUGUGGGAAGGCACAGACAGCCAGGAUGUUGGCUUAGAAGCAGCCAUCAUUUAAAGAAAGCGUAAUAGCUCACUGGUCGAGUCGGCCUGCGCGGAAGAUGUAACGGGGCUAAACCAUGCACCGAAGCUGCGGCAGCGACACUAUGUGUUGUUGGGUAGGGGAGCGUUCUGUAAGCCUGCGAAGGUGACCUGUGAGGGUUGCUGGAGGUAUCAGAAGUGCGAAUGCUGACAUAAGUAACGAUAAAGCGGGUGAAAAGCCCGCUCGCCGGAAGACCAAGGGUUCCUGUCCAACGUUAAUCGGGGCAGGGUGAGUCGACCCCUAAGGCGAGGCCGAAAGGCGUAGUCGAUGGGAAACAGGUUAAUAUUCCUGUACUUGGUGUUACUGCGAAGGGGGGACGGAGAAGGCUAUGUUAGCCGGGCGACGGUUGUCCCGGUUUAAGCAUGUAGGCUGGUUAUCCAGGCAAAUCCGGAUAAUCAAGGCUGAGGUGUGAUGACGAGGCACUACGGUGCUGAAGUAACAAAUGCCCUGCUUCCAGGAAAAGCCUCUAAGCAUCAGGUAACAUCAAAUCGUACCCCAAACCGACACAGGUGGUCAGGUAGAGAAUACCAAGGCGCUUGAGAGAACUCGGGUGAAGGAACUAGGCAAAAUGGUGCCGUAACUUCGGGAGAAGGCACGCUGGUGUGUAGGUGAAGUCCCUGCGGAUGGAGCUGAGACCAGUCGAAGAUACCAGCUGGCUGCAACUGUUUAUUAAAAACACAGCACUGUGCAAACACGAAAGUGGACGUAUACGGUGUGACGCCUGCCCGGUGCCGGAAGGUUAAUUGAUGGGGUUAUCCGUAAGGAGAAGCUCUUGAUCGAAGCCCCGGUAAACGGCGGCCGUAACUAUAACGGUCCUAAGGUAGCGAAAUUCCUUGUCGGGU